This 253-nucleotide ribosomal RNA is filed under the name uncultured bacterium. RNAcentral's name for it is "partial 16S ribosomal RNA". It matches the Rfam family "Bacterial small subunit ribosomal RNA", at positions 524 to 776 of the family's 1533-position model. The record is from RNAcentral.
UACGUAGGGUGCGAGCGUUGUCCGGAAUUAUUGGGCGUAAAGGGCUCGUAGGCGGUUUGUCGCGUCGGAAGUGAAAACACGGGGCUUAACUCUGUGCUUGCUUUCGAUACGGGCAGACUAGAGGGAUGCAGGGGAGAACGGAAUUCCUGGUGUAGCGGUGAAUGACGCAGAUAUCAGGAGGAACACCGGUGGCGAAGGCGGUUCUCUGGGCAUUCCCUGACGCUGAGGAGCGAAAGUGUGGGGAGCGAACAGG